This 253-nucleotide ribosomal RNA is filed under the name uncultured bacterium. RNAcentral describes it as "partial 16S ribosomal RNA". It matches the Rfam family "Bacterial small subunit ribosomal RNA", at positions 524 to 776 of the family's 1533-position model. The record is from RNAcentral.
GACGAACCGAGCGAACGUUGUUCGGAAUCACUGGGCUUAAAGGGCGCGUAGGCGGGUGCUCAAGUCUGUGGUGAAAUCCUCCAGCUUAACUGGAGAACUGCCAUGGAUACUGGGUGUCUCGAGGAACGUAGGGGUAUGCGGAACGAUUGGUGGAGCGGUGAAAUGCGUUGAUAUCAAUCGGAACUCCGGUGGCGAAGGCGGCAUACUGGACGUUAUCUGACGCUGAGGCGCGAAAGCUAGGGGAGCAAACGGG